Molecule: small RNA, 28 nt
Filed under: Bombyx mori (domestic silkworm)
Lineage: Eukaryota; Metazoa; Arthropoda; Insecta; Lepidoptera; Bombycidae
Description: ovarian small RNA-21155
Source: RNAcentral
UACGUACUGGUUCUACUGCGCAUAGCUC